GAGUUUGAUCCUGGCUCAGAGCGAACGCUGGCGGCAGGCUUAACACAUGCAAGUCGAACGGGCGUAGCAAUACGUCAGUGGCAGACGGGUGAGUAACGCGUGGGAACGUACCUUUUGGUUCGGAACAACUGAGGGAAACUUCAGCUAAUACCGGAUAAGCCCUUACGGGGAAAGAUUUAUCGCCGAAAGAUCGGCCCGCGUCUGAUUAGCUAGUUGGUGAGGUAAGAGCUCACCAAGGCGACGAUCAGUAGCUGGUCUGAGAGGAUGAUCAGCCACAUUGGGACUGAGACACGGCCCAAACUCCUACGGGAGGCAGCAGUGGGGAAUAUUGGACAAUGGGCGCAAGCCUGAUCCAGCCAUGCCGCGUGAGUGAUGAAGGCCCUAGGGUUGUAAAGCUCUUUUGUGCGGGAAGAUAAUGACGGUACCGCAAGAAUAAGCCCCGGCUAACUUCGUGCCAGCAGCCGCGGUAAUACGAAGGGGGCUAGCGUUACUCGGAAUCACUGGGCGUAAAGGGUGCGUAGGCGGGUCUUUAAGUCAGGGGUGAAAUCCUGGAGCUCAACUCCAGAACUGCCUUUGAUACUGAGGAUCUUGAGUUCGGGAGAGGUGAGUGGAACUGCGAGUGUAGAGGUGAAAUUCGUAGAUAUUCGCAAGAACACCAGUGGCGAAGGCGGCUCACUGGCCCGAUACUGACGCUGAGGCACGAAAGCGUGGGGAGCAAACAGGAUUAGAUACCCCGGUAGUCCACGCCGUAAACGAUGAAUGCCAGCCGUUGGGGAGUUUACUCUUCAGUGGCGCAGCUAACGCUUUAAGCAUUCCGCCUGGGGAGUACGGUCGCAAGAUUAAAACUCAAAGGAAUUGACGGGGGCCCGCACAAGCGGUGGAGCAUGUGGUUUAAUUCGACGCAACGCGCAGAACCUUACCAGCCCUUGACAUGUCUAUGACCGGUACCAGAGAUGGAACCUCCCCUUCGGGGCAUAGAGCACAGGUGCUGCAUGGCUGUCGUCAGCUCGUGUCGUGAGAUGUUGGGUUAAGUCCCGCAACGAGCGCAACCCCCGUCCUUAGUUGCUACCAUUUAGUUGAGCACUCUAAGGAGACUGCCGGUGAUAAGCCGCGAGGAAGGUGGGGAUGACGUCAAGUCCUCAUGGCCCUUACGGGCUGGGCUACACACGUGCUACAAUGGCGGUGACAAUGGGACGCUAAGGAGCAAUCCUUCGCAAAUCUCAAAAAGCCGUCUCAGUUCGGAUUGGGCUCUGCAACUCGAGCCCAUGAAGUUGGAAUCGCUAGUAAUCGUGGAUCAGCAUGCCACGGUGAAUACGUUCCCGGGCCUUGUACACACCGCCCGUCACACCAUGGGAGUUGGUUUUACCUGAAGGUAGUGCGCUAACCCGCAAGGGGGGCAGCUAACCACGGUAGGGUCAGCGACUGGGGUGAAGUCGUAACAAGGU
Molecule: ribosomal RNA, 1445 nt
Filed under: metagenome
Description: bacterial SSU rRNA
Rfam family: Bacterial small subunit ribosomal RNA
Source: RNAcentral